RNAcentral lists this ribosomal RNA (494 nucleotides) under uncultured bacterium. RNAcentral describes it as "partial 16S ribosomal RNA". It matches the Rfam family "Bacterial small subunit ribosomal RNA", at positions 28 to 507 of the family's 1533-position model. The record is from RNAcentral.
GACGAACGCUGGCGGCGUGCUUAACACAUGCAAGUCGAACGGAGAGGCGCCUUCCUUUUUGGUGUGAGUGGAUGAGUGGCGAACGGGUGAGUAACACGUUAGUAACCUUCUCCCUCCUUCUUGAUAACGGCAUGCAAGUGUGGCUAACACGGGAUAUUUUGGGUCUGUCGCAUGAUUGGUCUGGGAAAGAUUUUGUGUCGGUUGGGGAUGGGCCCGCGCCCUAUCAGCUUGUUGGUGGGGUGAUGGCCUACCAAGGCGAUGAGGAGUAGCCGGCCUGAGAGGGUGGGCGAUCCCGCUGGGACUGAGCGGCCGACACGCCUCCUGCGGGAGGCAGCAGUGAAGAUUACUGCACGGUCGAAGCCAGGAUGGUGCAGCGCCGCCGCGGGGGGGAUGGAGGCCGGAGCGUAGUGAACUGCUUUCGGGAGUGAAGCAAUCCUGAAUCAUUUGUGCGUGGCUUGACGGUACCUGGAUAAGAAGCGCCGGCUAACUACGUG